UUUGGAGUUCUGCGGUCGCCAAGCCGAUGGUUUAGCCUUCAGGUAUAAAAUUUUCAGAUGUUGAGUCCUCAGAGUUGACAUUUCACAAUGUAGGCUUUAAAUUAUUUGUCAACUUGAUUGUAUUUGCAAUUCUCAAAUAACUUUCAGUUUUGUUACAACACGAAGGUAAAGGAUUUGAUUGCUUUGCAUUUGCCGCCUGAUACAGGCGAUUGUAUAGCAUCUAGCGGAGAAAUUCUUUACUGCCUAUCUGCCAUUGCCAUUCAUCGUCUGCUACUACGUAACUUUUCAUUUCUCACGUGGUCGGAGUGGAGACGGUUGCUUGGUCGCCAUUUUCCUACAUUUUGGAUAUUCCUUGUCUAAUUUCCUGACUUCAGGAGACGGUGAGAUGUUAAGAGUUCUGCCAGAUUGACCAGGACUCGUGUUCAUCACCAAAUUAUUUCAUGUAGUAGGCUAAUUUACCUGUUAAGUGUUAAGUGAACACUAAGAUUAUAUUGUGAUUCCUUUUACUAAUAAGUUGAGACAUCACAAUCUUCGUAAAAGGUUUUUUUGUGUUAGGAUUCAUUUUUGACAGGAAAAUUACUUUGGAUUCUUUAAUUUUAUUUCUGAGGGUGGACGAGGUGGCAAGAUUCAAAGUUAACUGUAAAUUCCUUGACCCUUGUUCUGUGGCGUUGGAGGACAACGUCAUUUUGAGAUGACAGAAUUUUCGAGUAUUGUACAUUACGUUUGUUCAUGUUCCCAGAAAAUUGACUCGUUUUAUGCCAUGUCAAUCGAUUUCGUAAUGAAUGGUCUCAAUUAGAUAUUGUUUUUUAUUAGCUUGACUUUACUUCUCCCCGAGAUUAGUUGCUCCUGACUAGUAAUUGCUAUUUUCCGUAUCGACUUCUUCCUAAUAGUAAUUGCCACAAUCUUCUCCUGACUGAAUGUCUUGGAUGCAGUUCUAUCACGGCCAUGUUAACAGUUUGACUGAUUGGCGAUUUCACGUAGUCAUACAAAUAACACAGAUUGGAAUAAAUUUUGUUCUUUUAUUUGAAGACAUUUCUGAAAAGAUUUUCCGAACAUCAACCAGCUCUUUCUCAUGCUAAAUAAACUAUGUAUAUUCGUUUACGAUAUGUAUUGUGUAUCUAAAGUAUUGAUUCUUAAAGUUGGGAUGUGUAAUUAAAAACAGAAAUAAAUA
Daphnia pulex (common water flea) is the source of this 1171-nucleotide long non-coding RNA. RefSeq lists it as uncharacterized. Lineage: Eukaryota; Metazoa; Arthropoda; Branchiopoda; Diplostraca; Daphniidae. The transcript has 2 exons. The record is from RefSeq and is a predicted model, not a curated record.